Molecule: ribosomal RNA, 390 nt
Filed under: Veillonella atypica
Lineage: Bacteria; Bacillati; Bacillota; Negativicutes; Veillonellales; Veillonellaceae
Description: bacterial SSU rRNA
Rfam family: Bacterial small subunit ribosomal RNA
Source: RNAcentral
GACGAACGCUGGCGGCGUGCUUAACACAUGCAAGUCGAACGAAGAGCGAUGGAAGCUUGCUUCUAUUAAUCUUAGUGGCGAACGGGUGAGUAACGCGUAAUCAACCUGCCCUUCAGAGGGGGACAACAGUUGGAAACGACUGCUAAUACCGCAUACGAUCCAAUCUCGGCAUCGAGACUGGAUGAAAGGUGGCCUCUAUUUAUAAGCUAUCACUGAAGGAGGGGAUUGCGUCUGAUUAGCUAGUUGGAGGGGUAACGGCCCACCAAGGCGAUGAUCAGUAGCCGGUCUGAGAGGAUGAACGGCCACAUUGGGACUGAGACACGGCCCAGACUCCUACGGGAGGCAGCAGUGGGGAAUCUUCCGCAAUGGACGAAAGUCUGACGGAGCAAC